AUUGACCACGAAAUACAUCUCUUUCACGCAACACAUUGCCUGACGUCAAGGGGCAAGAAACCUGAGAUUUUAGUUCACGAAAAUUCCGCCACAUGGCGCUAGCUGUACUCGCGGUAGGCGGAGCCGAGAGAAAUGGUGGUCAAUACUUUUCCGGUUUUGCUCGAAGGAGGGUCAAAACUUUCGCGUUUUCUAGAAGUUAGUUCACCAAAAAUCCGCCACAUGGCGCUAGCUGUACUCGCGGUAGGCGGAGCUUGAAGAAAAUGGCGGCACCCAGAGAAAUGCGUGGAAAAUUCGCAUAAUUGAUUAAGAAAUCGGAAAAAAUCGGAAAAAAUCAGAAAAAAUCGAAAGAAAUCGGAGAAAAUCGGAAAAGAUUGAAAAAAAUUGAGAAAAAUUGCUUUUUUGUUUAAAAAGAGAAUUGAGCUCUUAGGAUUAGGCAUAGACCAUAAUUGUAGUCGCCACAGCAAAACGAGUUAAAGGAUGCUCGAAUCAACAAAGGAGACUGCAGCGAUGAAGUUGUACUGGAGGAAGAAUAACCACCUCCACUUUAACUCGAAGAUUUGAUUCGCAGAGUCCUUAGCGGAGGAUGAUCAACCAAUUUCUGUGUAUGUAACUUCGCUUGCACGUCCUCAGUUGCCUGUCAGGGGCCAGGAAAGAUGCGACGAAGCCAAUCAUCAUACAUGCAGAGUGGAUAAUUGCUCUAAUUAAGUUAUUAUAUGGGUUGAAUCGUACUGUGUGCAUAUUUUCUUUAUAACUAUGAAAUCAUUAUUUUGAUGUGACUAUUGAAAGUUAUAUUGUAAUAACGAAGCAAUGAAUAUAUCUGUAGAAAUGAAUCCCGAACAUGUAUGACGAUGUACAAACAUGUAUUUGUGACCUUUAAUUUAUCAAUAUAUCUGACGACUUUGAGUACAAGA
Athalia rosae (coleseed sawfly) is the source of this 911-nucleotide long non-coding RNA. RefSeq lists it as uncharacterized. Lineage: Eukaryota; Metazoa; Arthropoda; Insecta; Hymenoptera; Athaliidae. The record is from RefSeq and is a predicted model, not a curated record. The transcript is spliced from 2 exons.